Molecule: ribosomal RNA, 840 nt
Filed under: uncultured bacterium
Lineage: Bacteria
Description: bacterial SSU rRNA
Rfam family: Bacterial small subunit ribosomal RNA
Source: RNAcentral
AGAAUCAACGCUGGCGGCGCGCUUAACACAUGCAAGUCGAACGAGAAAGGGGAGCAAUCCCUGAGUACAGUGGCGUACGGGUGAGUAACACGUGGGUAAUCUACCUCUUAGUGGGGAAUAACGCUGGGAAACCGGCGCUAAUACCGCAUAAGCUCGAGAGAGGAAAGCAGCAAUGCGCUGAGAGAGGAGCCCGCGGCCGAUUAGCUAGUUGGCAGGGUAAAAGCCUACCAAGGCAGAGAUCGGUAGCCGGCCUGAGAGGGCACACGGCCACACUGGCACUGAAACACGGGCCAGACCCCUACGGGAGGCAGCAGUGGGGAAUCUUGCACAAUGGGGGAAACCCUGAUGCAGCGACGCCGCGUGAGCGAUGAAGCCCUUCGGGGUGUAAAGCUCUUUCGGCAGGGACGAUAAUGACGGUACCUGCAGAAGCAGCUGCGGCUAACUACGUGCCAGCAGCCGCGGUAAUACGUAGGCAGCGAGCGUUGUUCGGAGUUACUGGGCGUAAAGGGUGUGUAGGCGGCUUUUUAAGUUUGGUGUGAAAUCUCCCGGCUCAACCGGGAGGGUGCGCCGAAUACUGAGAGGCUAGAGUACGGGAGAGGAAAGUGGAAUUCCUGGUGUAGCGGUGAAAUGCGUAGAUAUCAGGAGGAACACCGGUGGUGUAGACGGCUUUCUGGACCGUAACUGACGCUGAGACACGAAAGCGUGGGUAGCAAACAGGAUUAGAUACCCUGGUAGUCCACGCCCUAAACGAUGAAUGCUUGGUGUGGCGGGUAUCGAUCCCUCCGUGCCGAAGCUAACGCAUUAAGCAUUCCGCCUGGGGAGUACGGUCGCAAGGCUGAA